This 187-nucleotide ribosomal RNA is filed under the name uncultured Staphylococcus sp. Its description in RNAcentral is "partial 16S ribosomal RNA". It matches the Rfam family "Bacterial small subunit ribosomal RNA", at positions 153 to 334 of the family's 1533-position model. Lineage: Bacteria; Bacillati; Bacillota; Bacilli; Caryophanales; Staphylococcaceae. The record is from RNAcentral.
GGAACCGGAGCUAAUACCGGAUAAUAUUUUGAACCGCAUGGUUCAAAAGUGAAAGACGGUCUUGCUGUCACUUAUAGAUGGAUCCGCGCUGCAUUAGCCAGUUGGUAAGGUAACGGCUUACCAAGGCAACGAUACAUAGCCGACCUGAGAGGGUGAUCGGCCACACUGGAACUGAGACACGGUCCAG